AUUGGCUGGAGCCGGUGCAGUUAUGUAAAUGAGCACCUGGUGGCGCCUGCUGGCCCGACUCUGGAGCCCGGAAUGAGGUUGGAGGAGCUCUCAGGACAGAGUCAGAUAGGGAGACGAAGAGAAGGCACCUCUGACACUGUUGCUCCUACAAACUUAAGUCCCCUCACCGCGGGCACGCUUUCUGUGCACGACACUUCCUCCCAAGACUGUUAGAGGACCAAAAGACCGAGGGUUUUAAAUCAGAUAAAGUGCUCAUUUCAACAAAGCUUGGAUUAUCCGCAGGACGAGUUCCAGGAGGGGGAAGUAGCAUUAUCCCAGUAAAGAACACUCAGAAAGUUGGGACUGCUGUCAAAGCGCACUUUUCUGCGUCUUUUAGGACUUGGAGGGUAGCGGCGUGUAACAUCGCACCAGCUUCCUCACAUGCUGCCGGAAAUGGAAAACAAAGGGCUCGAUACUUUCUGUCUCCCAAAGGUCAUUAGUCAUGUCUGAGCCAGGAUCUGGCUCUGUGAUUGGAUACUCCACAUGUCGAGGGCCUGCAUCUAAAUAACAAAGACGAAAGCCCAAACGGGGCUUAAAGGUUAGAGCGUGAAAUCGCUUGUUAGGUGUUGGCUCAGUAGAACUAAAAACGUGCUGUCAAUCUCACACUUUAGCGUCUCCGUCAAACAGUAAAUAAUAAUAAUGGUGAGUUAAGCUUGUUGUCCUAAUCUCUGCUAGUCAAACCCUUUAUUCACCAGAUUGAAUUUGAUAUUUUUCAGUGUCCUUGAUUCAGGUCCAAAAUCUUCGUGUAGCUCCUCUGAUGAGACGAAGUAUUUAAAAAAAAAAAAACAAAUUCUGAAAGAAUUCCUCUAAAAAAGAAAUAAAAAGCUAAAAUGAUCCAAAGCAGAGACAUGGGCACAUCCUCCGGGGGACCAGCAGUCACAUGGGUCUGCUGCUGGUGAUUUAUGAGCCAGACCUGGAUAAGUGGUUAAAGAUGAAACAAUCACUGGGAGCUAACAUCCCACACCCAUGUUACCAAGCAACUGUUCACUGCUGGCCCCUCAUGCUGCAGCUUCAGGGUGAUCCCUGAGAUCCUGGGGAUUUUCUGGGUGUGUUCAGCUGAGGAAAGAUCCAGGAUUACCCACCAACCUGCUGGAGCAACUUAAGUUCUCCUCAGGCAGGAGACAGGAAGUGGAAAGAGAAAUAAACGGGGACCUUUGUGUCUUGUCAUCCACAAACUGCAAUUAAGCCACAACUAUCUUCCAUUUCCAGUUUGGGACCUCUUUUCCUCUGGCUCACUUGUUCUUGCCCCCCCACCUCGCGCUCACUGACCCCACCGGCCUGCUCUAAAGGCGCUGUUGAGUGAAUUAAACAGCACGUUUGAAAAGAACAGAUGCAAAAGCAGCAGCUAAUUUCAAUCAUGUGUUAUGGGCAGUAAAUCUGAUGGAGCCGGCUGAACACGUCCUCCAUCCUUUCACCCCUCAAACGAUGCAGAUAAACGUAUGUAGGUUUAUAUUUCACUCGUUAUCAUUAGGAAAAGGUUUCUCAUUUGUGCUGUCGUGGUUGUGAAGACGCGACGCAGUCGAGCGUUUAUUGGUUUGAGGCGACUGAAAUGGCUUCCUUUGGUACCAACGGGUCCCGUUCCGGGCUGUUGUCAGCCCUAAUUGUCACUCUGCAGCUCUUUGUUCACUCCAGUGUUUCCAAUUAACUUAUUAGCAAUUAAAGCUUUGGACUAAAGUUUCUGCUCAUUAAUUUUCGCAUGUACAGAUUAAUGGCAAACGUAUUUAUAGGCAGGCAAAACAAAUCAAAAGAAAGAUUUGUGAUGGACUGUGAGUGAAUC
RNAcentral lists this long non-coding RNA (1816 nucleotides) under Takifugu rubripes (torafugu). Its description in RNAcentral is "lncRNA (ENSTRUG00000028090.1)". Lineage: Eukaryota; Metazoa; Chordata; Actinopteri; Tetraodontiformes; Tetraodontidae. The record is from RNAcentral.